UAAACAGUGUCCUUAGCAGCGCGUUACCA
This 29-nucleotide non-coding RNA is filed under the name Rattus norvegicus (Norway rat). Lineage: Eukaryota; Metazoa; Chordata; Mammalia; Rodentia; Muridae. The record is from RNAcentral.